Molecule: unclassified non-coding RNA, 240 nt
Filed under: soil metagenome
Description: partial contains 5.8S ribosomal RNA, internal transcribed spacer 2, and large subunit ribosomal RNA
Source: RNAcentral
AAGACUAUAGACCUGCGGAGUACCUGCGGAGGGAUCAUUAUAGAAUUGUUCGAAUCCAUACGGGCAUUUUCUAAAAAUCCGUAUCCACACCGGUAGGGUUUUUUUUUCUCUCCCUUUGGGGGAAAAAACUAAACCUUUACCGUAGGGUUCCUCACUCGCUUUUCGGAGUGGGUGUGGUUCCCGUCUGACCCAUGCCUAUAAUUUUAUUUUGUCUGAACUUGUUUAUAAUAAAUAAUAAAC